CUUGAUCUUGCUCUUGGAUGAUCCCCUUAGAAUGACUAUGGGCGACAGGUCCCGUGUAGGUGUCGUUUGCAGCUGAAGAUUUGGAUGCAACUUUCUUUGAUGCCAUUAAUUUGUUUGUAGAUCUAGAUGACGAGAGAGAUAUGAAAGGUAGAGAUGGUCCCACUGGGCAUGCCAAUUUGUUCGCACGAGAUUUCCGAAGACAUUUAAUUCGUGGAUUUGAACUUAGUGUUGAUGUCGUAUUUUUGUUGAUUUGAUGUCAUGUGGUUCUAUCUCUACAAUUUGAUCCUCUGAUUCUCUCUCGACUGAAUGCCUACGCUUGAUUUGGAGGAAGCGGAGCACGUGAUGUUCUUGAAGUUGGAGUCUUGGAAGAAAGUUUGUAUCUUCAAAGGAGCUGAUCUUCGAGGGAAGUUGGAGUCUUGGAAGAAAUCUUGUAUCUUCAAAGAAGCUUCAAUCUUCGAGGAUGGUCGACUUCAGGAGUUAGGGAGUCUUCUAGCUUUUAGGAGAAUUCUCUCUAGACCUUCUAGAGUAAAAAAUUUUCAACCCUGCAAAUGAGGAGAAUUUCUCUAUUUAUAGAGUUCACUGGUGGGCUUUAUGGGCUUAAACUUGGUUGGUCCAUGGACCAGACCCAUGGGCUCAACCAUAUGGAUUUAGGUUAUAUUUAGUCUUUGGGCUCAAUUAACCUUACUUUUGGGCUUAAUUAAACUUCGUCCAAGUAAAUAAUAUUUAAU
RNAcentral lists this long non-coding RNA (728 nucleotides) under Cucumis sativus (cucumber). Its description in RNAcentral is "long non-coding RNA (CSAT_LNC000162)". The record is from RNAcentral. Lineage: Eukaryota; Viridiplantae; Streptophyta; Magnoliopsida; Cucurbitales; Cucurbitaceae.